GAUGAACGCUGGCGGCGUGCCUAAUACAUGCAAGUCGAGCGAACAGAUGAGGAGCUUGCUCCUCUGACGUUAGCGGCGGACGGGUGAGUAACACGUGUAUAACCUACCUAUAUGACUGGGAUAACUUCGGGAAACCGGAGCUAAUACCGGAUAAUAUCUUGAACCGCAUGGUUCAAUAGUGAAAGACGGCUUUGCUGGCACUUAUAGCUGGAUCCGCGCCGCAUUAGCUAGUUGGUAAGGUAACGGCUUACCAAGGCAACGAUGCGUAGCCGACCUGAGGGGGUGAUAGGCCACACUGGAACUGAGACACGGUCCAGACUCCUACGGGAGGCAGCAGUAGGGAAUCGGCCGCAAUGGGCGAAAGCCUGACAGAGCAACGCCGCGUGAGUGAUGGAGGUCUUCGGAUCGUAAAACUCUGUUAUGAGGGAAGAACAAAUGUGUAAGUAAAUAUGCACGUCUUGACGGUACCUAAUCAAAAAGCCACGGCUAACUACGUG
RNAcentral lists this ribosomal RNA (497 nucleotides) under uncultured bacterium. Its description in RNAcentral is "partial 16S ribosomal RNA". It matches the Rfam family "Bacterial small subunit ribosomal RNA", at positions 28 to 507 of the family's 1533-position model. The record is from RNAcentral.